RNAcentral lists this long non-coding RNA (477 nucleotides) under Mus spicilegus (steppe mouse). Its description in RNAcentral is "lncRNA (ENSMSIG00000030404.1)". Lineage: Eukaryota; Metazoa; Chordata; Mammalia; Rodentia; Muridae. The record is from RNAcentral.
AUUUCCACAGGAUGUGGGGUCCUAACAUCCUGUCAAAAACUCUGAAAACCAUGGCGAAGCGAGGACCAUCGCAGUGACUCUGAGCCUUCUCAGCCUACCCCCCUCAAGCACUAUCAUUUAUGGACUGUGAAGGAAGAGAGAUUUAUGGCGGUGGUGGAAGGCAGAGGAAUUACUUGUACUCCAGGGUAGCCCCAUGGCAAAUGGAACGCUAUCCGUGGGGAAAACGACACAAUGUCCUUGCUUGAAGAUGCCUGUGGAUUGGUCAGUGCAGUUGACUACAGCAGCUGUGCUCUAGGCUGUAGAUGUUCAAAUUUGUUCUGGGGGAUUUUCAUGCUGUGGCCUGGGUGAGUGAGCAGUGGCUACCUCAGGCCAGGAUUUCGCAAGAAGCAGGUCAGGAGCCCAAGCACCCAGGGAAAAACUAGGUAAGCACAUUUCAAGACUGGGCUCAGGAUGUAAGAAUAUAGGAUGUAAGACUGU